Molecule: ribosomal RNA, 553 nt
Filed under: uncultured Actinomycetes bacterium
Lineage: Bacteria; Bacillati; Actinomycetota; Actinomycetes
Description: bacterial SSU rRNA
Rfam family: Bacterial small subunit ribosomal RNA
Source: RNAcentral
GGGGUAAUGGCCUACCAAGGCGUCGACGGGUAGCUGGUCUGAGAGGAUGAUCAGCCACACUGGGACUGAGACACGGCCCAGACUCCUACGGGAGGCAGCAGUGGGGAAUCUUGCACAAUGGGCGAAAGCCUGAUGCAGCAACGCCGCGUGCGGGAAGAAGGCCCUCGGGUUGUAAACCGCUUUCAGAAGGAACGAAAAUGACGGUACCUUCAGAAGAAGGUGCGGCCAACUACGUGCCAGCAGCCGCGGUGACACGUAGGCACCAAGCAUUGUCCGGAUUUAUUGGGCGUAAAGAGCUCGUAGGCGGUUCAGUAAGUCGGGUGUGAAAACUUUGGGCUUAACCCAAAGCGUGCAUCCGAUACUGCUGUGACUUGAGUUCGGUAGGGGAGUGGGGAAUUCCUAGUGUAGCGGUGAAAUGCGCAGAUAUUAGGAGGAACACCGGUGGCGAAGGCGCCACUCUGGGCCGAAACUGACGCUGAGGAGCGAAAGCAUGGGUAGCAAACAGGAUUAGAUACCCUGGUAGUCCAUGCCGUAAACGUUGGGCACUAGGUGU